UUCAGGAACGGGAAGAGAUCUGCGGUCUACAGAAUGGGAGAGAUUUUAGAGCCAGACCUGGGUCUCUGAUUUGGUGAUGAUGUUACAGAUGGGGCAAAUCUUGGGAGAAUGGUGAGAAUGGUUUGCCAGUGAAGUUAAAACAGAAAUGUGGACACGGAACCUUGAGCCGCACUCAGCUGCUGCUAUGCUGACAUUUGCGUCUCCUUUCCACAGCCUGAGAUCUGCAACAAAUUCUUGCUCUCCACUCCCUCUGUUCCGGGAGGAUCUACCAGGAAGAAAUGGGGGAUACCCUGCCCCGGGGAGCUCAGGUCACAGCCUAUUUUUUUGAUAAUUGCCAAUCUGAUUCUCUGUGAGCCCGGAACUUCGGAACUUCGGUAUCUCCUACAAAUAAAGACAUUCUUCUCCAUCCCAACAACACAAUCAACCAAAUUAGAAAAUUAACCUCAAACCAUUAGACCGCCAUCAGACCUCAUCCAAAGUAUUCGGGUUAUGAAGUUGCUGGAAGGAACAACACAGAGCUGAAGCUGUGCUAUUCUCAGUGCAUCGCAUCAGGCGGUGCAAAUUCCAGUUUUUCCCUAUUCCUGAUUGAUGGUAGCUUUGCUUUAUUAAGAUGGUGUCCCUCAGGCUUCCCCAGUCUCAAGUUACCUCUUUUCUCUUGGUAAGUAAUAAAUAUUUUGUGUGGAAAAAUUUGAAACUAUGUAACCAUCCUAUUCGUCAACAA
Panthera uncia (snow leopard) is the source of this 721-nucleotide long non-coding RNA. RefSeq lists it as uncharacterized. The transcript is spliced from 3 exons. Lineage: Eukaryota; Metazoa; Chordata; Mammalia; Carnivora; Felidae. The record is from RefSeq and is a predicted model, not a curated record.